AAAAGCACCCCGACGAGGGGAGUGAAACAGACCCUGAAACCGGAUGCCUACAAACAGUUGGAGCCCGAAAGGGUGACAGCGUACCUUUUGUAUAAUGGGUCAGCGACUUAAUUUAACGAGCAAGCUUAAGCCGGUAGGUGUAGGCGUAGCGAAAGCGAGUCUGAACAGGGCGCCUUAGUUCGUUGGAUUAGACCCGAAACCGAGUGAUCUAGCCAUGGCCAGGUUGAAGGUGCGGUAACACGCACUGGAGGACCGAACCCACGCCUGUUGAAAAAGUCGGGGAUGAGCUGUGGCUAGGGGUGAAAGGCCAAUCAAACUCGGAAAUAGCUGGUUCUCCGCGAAAUCUAUUUAGGUAGAGCGUCGGAUGUAUUCUCCCGGGGGUAGAGCACUGGAUGGGCUAUGGGGGCUUACCGCCUUACUGAUCCUAACCAAACUCCGA
Molecule: ribosomal RNA, 439 nt
Filed under: Roseibium sp. RKSG952
Lineage: Bacteria; Pseudomonadati; Pseudomonadota; Alphaproteobacteria; Hyphomicrobiales; Stappiaceae
Description: Bacterial large subunit ribosomal RNA
Rfam family: Bacterial large subunit ribosomal RNA
Source: Rfam by way of RNAcentral